This is a non-coding RNA of Podarcis lilfordi (Lilford's wall lizard), 10262 nucleotides long. The record is from the annotation of a GenBank genome assembly. Lineage: Eukaryota; Metazoa; Chordata; Lepidosauria; Squamata; Lacertidae.
UAAAGCUUUCAGUGAUGCCAGCGCAGAAUAUUACACCCCAAUAUGUCCCUAUGUCCCUUGUUGUUGUUCUCAUAGCUUCAGCAAGCUGGGGUCCAUAGCAGCAGCCAGUCAUGGUCCCUGGUUUCUCAGUGCAGCCUCCUCCAGCCACUAUAGAGGUCUGCCUACUUUCUUCUUCUUCUUCUUCUUCUUCUUCUUCUUCUUCUUCUUCUUCUUCUUCUUCCCAUAAGCCUUUGCAGAGAGCAUCUCCUCCCCCUGUCACCCUCCAUCUCAGAAGCUUCCUACAGAAAGGACUUUUUCUCUUGUGACAUCACACCCACUGUAAUCCUAGCAGUCUCCUCCUUUCUUGUCUGAUGCUGAAUGUCUCACCUUUACUCAGGGUAAUGACUCUGCCAUCACCUGUCUUUAUUCUUUGGUGGCACCUCUCUAAGUCAAGCUCAUGAAGAAGCUGCCUUGUCCGAAAACCCCACAUUGUAACUCACUCUACGUGGGGCUGCCCUUGAGACUGACCCAGGAACUCCAGUGGGUGCAGAAUGCUGUGGCGAGACUCCUUACCGGGUCCUCACCGUGGGAUCACAUUCACCCAGUGCUAUACCAGUUGCACUGGCUGCCGAUGGAGUACAGGAUCAGGUUUUAGGUGCUGGUUUUAACCUUUAAAGCCCCAUAUGGCCUAGGACCCUCGUACCUAUGGGACUGCCUCUCCUGGUAUGUCCCACGGAGGACCUUACGGUCUUCAAACAAAAACAUCUUGGAGGUCCCAGGCCACAGGGAGGUUAGGCUGGCCUCAACCAGAGCCAGGGCUUUUUCGGCUGUGGCCCCGAUCUGGUGGAAUGCUCUGUCACAAGAGACUAGGGCCCUGCGGGAAUUGACAUCUUUCCGCAGGGCCUGCAAGACAGAGCUGUUCCACCAGGCCUUUGGCCAAGGCACAGUCUGAGCCCCUCCUUUGGCAAUCCUCAUAAAACUGUAGCCCAAUGGUUGCCAUUAAUUUGAUUCUGAAUUGAUUAGAGAAUGAAUUGAUUUUAGAAUUUAUUUUAAUUAAUUGAUUGUGAUUUUAUGUAGAUUGUGUUACUUUUAUUGUUGUUAGCCGCUCUGAGCCUGGUUCUGGCUGGGGAGGGCGGGAUAUAAAUAAAAAAUUAUUAUUAUUAUUACUACUACAUGUCAGCCUAGAUAGCUUAGUUGGUUAGUGCAUGGUGCUGAUAACGCCCAGGUUGCAGGUUCAAUCCCUGCAAGGGACAGCUGCAUAUUCCUGCAUUGCAGAGGGUUGGAGUAGAUCAGGGGUCAGCAAGCUUACCAAACGAUGGGCCGAUCGACGCUCUGUCCAUCGGAGGGUGGGCCGGAGCGUGUGUGCAUGUGCACUCUUCCAGGUCAGAGGAGCACCCGUGCCCAUGCGGACACGCUAUUUCUGGUGCUCCUCUGACCUGGAAGUGCGCCGGAAAUAGCAUGUAUGCAUGAGCACGGGCACUUCUCAGUCCUGCAUGCGUGCACACACGCUAUUUCUGGUGCACAUCCGGGUCGUAGGAGCACCCAUGCACAUGCGCACAGGCGCCAUCAACCCGGAAGUCGGUCCCUGCACCACACUGCACCGCGUCCGUAAGAGCGGGCGGUGGCAGGGGUUGCCUUAGUCUGCUGACCCCUGGAGUAGAUGAUCCUUAGGGUCCCUUCCAACUCUACAGUUUUGUGAUUCUAUGAUUUACUAAUUGCAGAGAUUACGGGGAGAACCUGGCACCCAGGGAUUUUAGGCCCCCUGAAGACUCAUAACAGUACUGAAGACAAAUAACCAACACGAAGUACAAUGUAACAUAAUAAAAUUACAGCACGAUAAAGGCAAUAAAUCAAUGUGAAAUCAUAAAACAGUGAUGCAUAAAUAAUACGAUAUUCAAUCUGACAGUAAUAUUACUGGUCAGGAAUUGCCUGCUUAAGCAAAUUCACUUUAAGCAUGCAGCAAAAUGAUAGUACAGUUUGCUCACCCCUAAUCUCAGAAAGAAGGCUGCUCCAGAAAGAAAGAUGCCAUUACUGCUAAGGACCUCUUCCAAAUGUCUACAGAAUGGAACUCACUGAUCUCAGGGAGUGGGCAGAUUUAUAUUUUAGGGCAAAAGUAUAUGGGAAGCUAAUGCGAUGAUUAUGCAUCGUUUGUGCCAGCUGUGGGAUGCCUAGAGAAAGCAUUCAAGCAAGAACUGGAGUAAACUCACCCUCCUUGAGUUUCCAGCAACUGGUAUUCAGAAGCGGGUGGUACUGUGGUCUAAACCACUGCGCCUCUUGGGCUUGCUGAUCAGAAGGUUGGCGGUUCGAAUCCCCGUGACAGAGCGAGUUCCCGUUGCUCUGUCCCAGCUCCUGCCAACUUAGCAGUUCGAAAGCACACCAGUGCAAGUAGAUAAAUAGGCACCGCUCCGGCGGGAAGGUGAACAGUGUUUCAGUGCGCUGCUCUGGUUUGCCAGAAGCGGCUUAGUCAUGCUGGCUACAUGACCCGGAAGCUGUACACCGGCUCCCUCGGCCAAUAAAGCGAGAUGCAACCCCAGAGUCGGCCACCCCAGAGUCGGCCACGACUGGACCUAACGGUCAGGGGUCCCCUUUACCCUUUACCUAUGAAUUGGUCUGAGAACAUCCAUCGCAAAACUGGAGAAGUGAGGAUUUUGAAGCAUAGCUGCAUUUGGGCAUGAGUUUUGUUUUGGAAAGAGCAAAUCAGGUAUGUUGCAAUACAAAUAAUAAUUUCUCUCCCAGUCCCUAGCCACUAAUAUUUAAGAAUACUGUCUAGAUGAUGAAGACCACAAACAAAAGGCUUUCCUCUGUCUAUCUAUGCAGGAAAGACAUUGUUCCGCAGCUCUAUGGGAUGCAACAAAGAAAGGUGAAUUCUCAAUGAACGCCUUGCUGUUGACUUAUUGCUGAAAAUGGAAUCCUCCCAGCUGCACCCCAGCGAGACUCAUUCUUAGCAGACAAGCCAAAUUUAUUCAUUUAUUUAUUUGAGAUAUGAGCAGCUUCUUUCUUAAAAAGACUUAAAAAGUGUUGGUGGUGGUGACUGAGGGCCCUGCUUUUCACAUCAAGGGAGGCAUUCAGAACAGGACUACUGAAUGGGAUUUGUAUGUGAAAGUCCUAUUAUAGCAACUCCCACAGAAAUCUGCUUCCAAGUUUCCCAAUUGCUAUUGAUAUGCUCUAGCAGUGCACUUGACUUGGUCAAUUUAGAUUGGGAGGAUUUUAACAUGCGAGGUGCUUUGAAGAAAAGGGAGGGGGGUGAACUAAUCUAUUGAUGGGGAAAGCUUAGAAGGCUUUAACAUCUUAUUAGGAGGCUGGAAGUCCUCCCAUCUCAAUCCAGCAUGGUACUUCCUUUGAAAGGAACCAGAGGCCAGUGCCAGCGUUAUGCACACAUUAUUUCUGAUUGCGCCGCAAGCGUGUUUGGCCUCUUGUUCCUUGAGGCACCUGUGUUAGGAAGAGAAAAAGGAAAGGGAAAAAAUGCACUUGCCAAAAGUUGCUGGGGUUUGUUCUUCAGCAAAUGCCAGUCUCUACUUGCCAAACCCCUCUCCGCCUAAAAUUACAGGCACAGUGCGGGUAUACGGCACACAAAUAAAGCACAACGGAAUGAUGAAUCUUACUGUGCGCUGAGUUUUGUUUCGUUCACCCGGGCACUGCUCACACGCUGUUAGAGAAAUGUUUGCAAGGAUGAAGGCUAGAAAGAGGUGCACAUUUUUUAGAUUUUAUUUUGGUAAUAAAAGAGAGUGGAUUUCUUGGGAAGCCAAACCUUGGCUUCGGUACCACAUGCAGUUUGGCGUGCCAAGUUCAAACAGAUUUCUUCUCUCACCCAAUGCUUCCUAUUUAUUUUGCCAUUAUCUUGCUCCUGUAAUCCUUCUGGCUGCUGAAGAAUUGAUGCUUUUGAAUUAUGGUGCUGGAGGAGACUCUUGAGAGUCCCUUGGACUGCAAGAAGAUCAAACCUAUCCAUUCUGGAGGAAAGCAGCCCUGAGUGCUCACUGGAAGGACAGAUCCUGAAGCUGAGGCUCCAAUCCUUUGGCCACCUCAUGAGAAGAGAAGACUCCCUGGAAAAGACCCUGAUGUUGGGAAAGAUGGAGGGCACAAGGAGAAGGGGACAACAGAGGACGAGAUGGUUGGACAGUGUUCUCGAAGCUACCAGCAUGAGUUUGACCAAACUGCGGGAGGCAGUGGAAGACAGAAGUGCCUGGCGUGCUCUGGUCCAUGGGGUCACGAAGAGUCGGACACGACUAAACGACUAAACAACAACAACAAUCCUUCUGGCAGGAGCUCCAGUUCCAUGGGGCUGAGGGCUCUACAGCCUCCCAAUGUCCAUGGGUAUGGGGCUCAGCCCCCCCAAUCUUGAGGGGGCCGAGGAGGCCUGGCAGUAAUUCGCCCCAGGCCGUGUGGUGUCUACCAGCAUGGUGUAGCCUGGUGAGAAGUUUCCCCCGGCCACGGGGCAUCUCCUGUUGCUGCAUGGUCCAGUGGAAUGUCACCCUGGCCACACCGAGUCAUGUGAUGCGGUGCAGCCUGGGGGGAUGUUGCCCUGGGCUACGCAGCAUCAGGAGAGGCCACAUGGACCAGCAUUGACUGCAUGGACCUGGUUGGCGAAUGUCACAUCAGAAGGAGGCCUUCUUUGUGGCAGCCCCUAAGUUGUGGUGUAGUGGUUAAGAGCGGUGGGCUCGUAAUCUGGUGAACCGCUCCUCCACAUGCAGCUGCUGGGUGAACUUGGGCUAGUCACACUUCUUUGAAGUCUCCCAGCCCCACUCACCUCACAGAGUGUUUGUUGUGGGGGAGGAAGGGAAAGCAGAAUGUUAGCCGCUUUGAGGCUCCUUUGGGUAGUGAUAAAGAGGGAUAUCAAAUCCAAACUCCUCCUCCUCUUCCAACUCCUCCUCCUCCUCCUCUUCUUCUUCUUCUUUUUCGUGACAGAGGUGCAUCUGGCAACUUCAACAUUCAUAUGCUGAAGAUGAAUAUCUUUGACCCUUGAGAGAGAUGUGUUUAGGAGACACUUAAGUUGUGAUUGUAAUUUCCUAUGAACAGUUUCUAAUGCUGUAUUUUAUGUAACCGUAACCUGCCCUGGUCACGACUGGGAAAUAAAACUAAUAAUAAUAAUAAUGCAAAGCUUUCUACCUAUUUUGCAACUUUUGAUCAUUCCUAAUAUCCAUAAGGAAUGCAGGUGGCGCUGUGGUCUAAACCACUGAGCCUCUUGGGCUCGCCGAUCAGAAGGUCAGCAGUUCGAAUCCCCGCGACUGGGUGAGCUCCUGUUGCUCGGUCCCAGCUCUUGCCAACCUAGCAGUUCGAAAGCAUGCCAAAAAGUGCAAGUAGAUAAAUAGGUACCGCUCUGGUGGGAAGGUAAACAGUGUUUCUGUGCGCUGCUCUGGUUUUGGUGUUCCGUUGUGCCAGAAGCGGCUUAGUCAUGCUGGCCACAUGACCCGAAAAAACUGUCUUCGGACAAACGCCGGCUCCCUUGGCCUGUAUAGCAAGAUGAGUGCCGCAACCCCAGAGUCGUCUGCGACUGGACUUAACUAUCAGGGAUCCUUUACCUUUACCUUUUUAAUAUCAGUCAGUAUCUUGAAUUUGCUUGUUUGCUUGUUAUCCCAAUGGAUUAACAUGGCUACAACCAUUUUAUGAGUAGUUUCCUUGGCCUUGCCCCACUAACUAUGAGUGAUGACUUCCAAUCCAUGUGGAAACAGGUAGUGGCAACUAAAAUCUCACCCCUGGGUCUUCUACUUCCAGGUCUUCUACCCGGCAUGGGAGAUGAUCAGGCCAAAGCACUCAUUAAACAACAUGUAGCAGACACAGAACACCAACUGGAUCUAGCCAGGACCCCAACUUUUAUUGCCAAUGAAUCCAUCAGGUACUCUGCCUCCCCCAUGGCAUAUCUAACUAAACUCAAAGUCCCUAAGCAUUAGAGGGCCUUUACCCUGGCACAAUGUCAUGCCCUCCCCUUGGCUGUCAUUGAAGGUCGAUAUAGGAAGAUUGCUUACUCAGAGAGACAAUGCCCCUGUGAUUCUAGUCAAACAGAAACAAUAGAGCGUGUGCUUCUCCAGUGCCUAUAUUAUAGAGACAUCUGUACAGUGGUACCUCAGGUUACAAACACCUUGGGUUACUUCAGGUUACAGACUCUGCUAACCCAGAAGUAGUACCUCAGGUUAAGAACUUUACCUCAGGAUGAAAACAGAAAUCGUGUGCCAGCGGUGUGGCAGCAGCAGGAGGCCUCAUUAGCUAAAGUGGUACUUGAGGUUAAGAACAGUUUCAGGUUAAGAAUGGACCUCUGGAACGAAUUAAGUGCGUAACCCGAAGUACCACUGUAUUAGCCUCAUCUCCCCACUACUCCAUAUGUUCCCAGGCCAGGGUGCACAGGACAAUUCUAUACCUCCCUGCUGCUUUCAGAUACUAACCCUGCUACAACAUACAAUGUUGUCAGGUUCUGCAUAGCAGCGUUCAAAAUCUAUCGAUUGAUGACCUGUACAACAAUCUAGAUUUAAUGAACACCCAUAUCAGAGUGCUUUGUAAAUUGAUAGUCAUAGCCUUUCGUAUACCAACGUUUUAUGCUCUUCCACAUCCGUUUAAUGCUCCUAAUCCUUCUUUUAGCUUCUUAUAGUCUUUUAUAUGUACCUUCUGUUUUAAUAAUUUUAGCUUUCCAGAACGUUUUACAGAUUUUAAAUGAUUGUACCCCACCCUGCUUGUGUUGGUCUAUGACUGUAAUAAAGAUUUGAUUGAUUGAUUGAAUAGUUCAAUUGAAGUUUUAUUUUUCUGGCCAUUUUCAUUUGAGUUUUUUUAUUUCUUAAACACUCCUUGCUGCCAUGUUCUUAUUGCGCUCUGCUACAGAAAAAGCCUGUAGCUUAGUGAUAUAAGAACACAUCUCUCAGUCAGUGGAGGGAUCUCAAAGGCACAUGAAGCCACUCUGAUCUGUACAGUCCAGACAUGGCACCCACCCAUCUGAUGGAGCAGACUGCUGGACCAGUGUGGGCAAUCAUCAUCAUCAUUUUUUUUGUAUGCCGCCUUUCCAUAGCUGAAACUAUGCUCAAGGCGGCUUACAACAUGACAAGAUUUACAUAAUUACAAACAUAACAGAAGUCAUAAACAAUAAAUAGAACACAUCAAAAAGUACACAACCUAAUGGAAACAAUUUCCACAUAAAUCAUAAGAUCUAAAAUUAAAGAUACAGUGGUACCUCGGGUUAAGAACUUAAUUCGUUCUGGAGGUCCGUUCUUAACCUGAAACUGUUCUUAACCUGAGGUACCACUUUAGCUAAUGGGAUCUCCUGCUGCCGCCAUGCCGCUGCCGCACGAUUUCUGUUCUCAUCCUGAAGCAAAGUUCUCAACCCGAGGUACUAUUUCUGGGUUAGCGGAGUUUGUAACCUGAAGCGUCUGUAACCUGAGGUACCACUGUACAAUAGCAUAAAUAACAGCAACAGCUCUCUCAAAAAUACUCCAGCCCCAAAAUCUAUCCAACCACCUCAGCUUUUGUAGCUGGAGUCAGUCAGCACUCCCCUCUCCCAGGCCAGAUGGGAAAAGGCCAGCAAGGCAGGGUGCAGGUCUCCCAGGGCUCACAGCCAAGGAUGGUCUCAUUUAAAACAACGCAGAUAAAAAUUAAAAACAGUUUAAAAGUGAGUCCUUGGUGCUAAGCAGUAGCCACAGUCCUUGUGAAGCCUGUCAAGCCCAGUCCCAAGCCAGGUGGAAAGAGGCAAGGGCGGGACCCUUCAGUCCUCCUCAGUUAAAACACACGAAGAGCUCCAGUGGUCUGGUCAAAGGCCUACCUAGUUCAGCACCCUUCUCUCACAGUAGCCAGUCAAAGAUGCCCAUAGGAAGCAAGACAUGAGCACAACAAUUCUCGUGUUCCCAGCAAAUGGUACCCAGAGGCAUCCUACCUCUGAUAUUGGAGGAAAAUACCUUCUGCAUCAGGGACGCGGGUGGCGCUGUGGGUUAAACCACAGAGCCUAGGACUUGCCAAUCAGAAGGUCAGCAGUUCGAAUCCCCGCGACGGGGUGAGCUCCCGUUGUUCGGUCCCUGCUCCUGCCAACCUAGCAGUUUGAAAGCAUGUCAAAGUGCAAGUAGAUAAAUAGGUACCACUCCGGUAGGAAGGUAAACGGCGUUUCCGUGUGCUGCUCUGGUUUGCCAGAAGCAGCUUAGUCAUGCUGGCCACAUGACCCGGCUCCCUUGGCCUAUAGAGCGAGAUGAGCGAGAUGAGCGCGCAACCCCAGAGUCGGUGACGACUGGACCUAAUGGUCAGGGGUCCCUUUACCUUUACCUUCUGCAUCACUCCCUAGCAGACAAUAUUGUAGGAGAAGGCAGAUCUGCAUUCUCACGAGGCAACUCUCAGAUACCUCUUGUAUGUAUCUCCCCUAAGCACCGCCAAUCUCUGAGCCCAUCGGUUAUUUUAUUUUUUUACAAGCAAGACAAAAGAGCACCGUUGCUUCUUUCCUCCCUGGCAGGCUGUGCGAUGUCAGUAGCCUCCAGUAGAUGGCGAUGUGGGCCUCCGAGUGAGGCCUUUUCCACCCCACCCCCGUUGUCAUUUGCCAUGUUGUCCAAUGCGCUUGAUAGCCGCGGCAACAUCUCUAAGCAUCUCGGUAAAUGACAGCUUUGAAUGACAACGCUUUCUGCAUUGCCAGUUUUUGCUCGCGAUCGAGCCGUGAGGGGACAGAUACCUGCCACUUCCAUUUUAAACUCUGACAAAGAAUUCGAAAGCAGGCCAGGUUUCAGCGAAUAAGUAAAAGGAUUGCUUUCACGAUAGCGAAGUGAAUGAGAAUAAAUUCUGGGCUCUCCUCCCCCCACCCCAACAUCCCAGGCAGAGAUGUGCUCUUCUGCUUUAUUUAUCAUAGCCCAUCCUUCAUCUGAGGAACUUGCAAUGUUCGGUAGCAGUGUGCAUGCUUUUCACAGAAAACGUCACAGCAUCUCCAGGUACGAAUGGGAAACCAUAGCUGCAAUGCUAGGCUAGGUAGAUCAACUGGGUAAGGCAACUUCCAGCAUUCUGUUUAAUUUCUACAAAACUCCUGCGAGGUAGGUUAGGCUGUGGGGUCCAGAAACUAGCUCAGGACAACCCAUUGAGCAUCAAGACUGAGCAGAAAUCUGAAUCUAGCGCAGUCUGCCCACCAUAGUGCAGGGGGUUACAGCCUUGGGGUUGCAUGUGGCUCUCAGCCUAAUUUCAAAGCCCUCUUCGGGCAACCAGUUCAGAUCUCUGGCAAGAGAGGCCCAUCCCUUUCUUGGCAGCCCACUAGGUAGAGAAGAAGAGUUUGGAUUUGAUAUCCCGCUUUAUCACUACCCGAAGGAGUCUCAAAGUGGCUAACAUUCUCCUUUCCCUUCCUCCCCCACAACAAACACUCUGUGAGGUGAGUGGGGCUGAGAGACUUCAGAGAAGUGUGACUAGCCCAAGGUCACCCAGCAGCUGCAUGUGGAGGAGCAGAGACACGAACCCGGUUCCCCAGAUUACGAGUCUACCACUCUUAACCACUACACCACACUGGCUCACACUGGGAGAGAUAGCUAGGGAGAGAGUGAGGGGGGUGUUAGAAAGUGCAAGAGAGAGAGAGAUAAAGGGUGUUGGGAUGGGGGGGGGGAGAGGGACAGACGUAGCGUGUGUCAGAAAGAGGAAAAGAAAGGGAGAAGACAGAAGAGGUGGCAGAAAGUUAGAGGAAAGAAAAGAAUGGCCAAACCGACUUUGUCAUAUCUCCUUGUUCACGGCUGCACUCCACUCAGGUCAAUUCACCACUGAAUUGUGGCCCUUAACAAGAUUAUUCUCAAAGGAAUGUGGCCCCUGGCAGAAUAAAAGGUUCCCGAACGCACACUGCAGUGAGUCUCUGUGAAUACAGUGGUACCUCGGGUUACAGACACUUCAGGUUACGUACGCUUCAGGUUACAGACUCCACUAAUCCAGAAAUAGUACCUCAGGUUAAGAACUUUGCUUCAGGAUGAGAACAGAAAUCGUGCUCUGUUGGCGUGGCAGCAGCGGGAGGCCCCAUUGGCUAAAGUGGUGCUUCAGGUUAAGAACAGAUUCAGGUUAAGAACAGACCUCCAGAACGAAUUAAGUACUUAACCUGAGGUACCACUGUAUGUUUUUCUUUUUAACUAUAGCACUUGGAAUAUUUAUAAAUAUAUGCAUCCAAAGCCUUUACUAACCAUCCUUUCCUUUCCAUUUAGAACUUUCCAUUUUGCCCUGAUUAUUCCUUCUGAGAUGGUUAAAAUGUUCCCAUUUCACACCCAAUGAAAUUGCGAAUAUACAAUUUACAUGUCAGAUCAAUCAAGAUCCAGAUUGCAGAUGUUAGUGGACUACAGGUUUCCUUCAGUCAGAGGCUUUGCUAGAGAAAGGGA